This 74-nucleotide transfer RNA is filed under the name Candidatus Woesearchaeota archaeon. Its description in RNAcentral is "tRNA-Val". It matches the Rfam family "tRNA". From Rfam's summary of the family: Transfer RNA (tRNA) molecules are approximately 80 nucleotides in length. Their secondary structure includes four short double-helical elements and three loops (D, anti-codon, and T loops). The record is from RNAcentral. Lineage: Archaea; Nanobdellati; Candidatus Woesearchaeota.
GGGCUUGUGGCGUAGUCUGGUAGCGCAAUUCGUUUACACCGAAUAGGUCCCCAGUUCAAAUCUGGGCAGGCCCA